CGAUGAUUCUUGAGGCGGGGCAUCAGAGGCCGCGGCUGAUUUGCGGUGCCGCCUCAGAUGCUUCGACACACUGGAGCCGUGCUUGGAAGGUGAGCUCAGAGGGGAGCCGAAGCCGGUAGAUAGUAGGUGUCUUGGUGCAUUCGUUAGGAGGAAUUGUGGAACCAACCAUCUGAUGCCAAUGCCGACUCUCCCAGAGGAUCAACCGGCUGCAACAGACUUCAGGAAAGUGAUCUCAAGG
Rhodamnia argentea is the source of this 238-nucleotide long non-coding RNA. RefSeq lists it as uncharacterized. The transcript has 3 exons. NCBI's taxonomy places the organism in Eukaryota, Viridiplantae, Streptophyta, Magnoliopsida, Myrtales, Myrtaceae. The record is from RefSeq and is a predicted model, not a curated record.